This is a long non-coding RNA of Gambusia affinis (western mosquitofish), 274 nucleotides long. RefSeq lists it as uncharacterized. The record is from RefSeq and is a predicted model, not a curated record. Lineage: Eukaryota; Metazoa; Chordata; Actinopteri; Cyprinodontiformes; Poeciliidae. The transcript is spliced from 3 exons.
CAGAGUUUUUUCAUAAAUCUUCAUCUUCCUCUUCGUCUUCAUGGCUUCACUCCUGCAGGAACAGAAACACGUAUUCUGGGUUAAAACGGGACACAACGAUUCCUCUCAGCAAGUAUGGAAAGUCUAAACAUAAAGACAUCAUUAGAGACACACUGCAGAGAUGAAAAAAUGCUGGAAUCAGAAUAUGUUCCAGUGGAUUUGGCCUUUUAAAGAUUGGUGAUCAGCCAGAAAACUGCAGCUCUGCACCGCCAGUUCAGGAUCACAGAGAGGAGAA